Molecule: ribosomal RNA, 1531 nt
Filed under: Guinardia delicatula
Lineage: Eukaryota; Bacillariophyta; Coscinodiscophyceae; Rhizosoleniales; Rhizosoleniaceae
Description: small subunit ribosomal RNA
Rfam family: Bacterial small subunit ribosomal RNA
Source: RNAcentral
UUUAAUAUGAGUUUGAUCCUGGCUCAGAAUGAACGCUAUUAGUAUGCUUUACACAUGCGAGUUUUACAUUAUUUUUAUUAUAUUUAAUGUAGCGAACGGGUGAGUAAUGCGUAGGUAUAUUACCUUUUAAUUAAGUAUAAGAUAUUCAAUGAUUUUUUAAAAAUUUAUUGUUUAAUUUUAAUAUCAAUACUUUAAAUUAUUAAUUUAAUGUUAUAAGAUAAACCUGCGUAAGAUUAGGUAGUUGGUUGUGUAAAAGACAACCAAGCCUAUGAUCUUUAGUUGAUUUUAGAGGAUGAUCAACCACACUGGAACUGAGACAAGGUCCAGGCUAAAUUUUUUGGCCAGCAGUGAGGAAUAUUGGACAAUGAACGAAAGUUUGAUCCAGCAAUACUAAUUGAAUGAUGACGGCUUAUUGGUUGUAAAGUUCUUUCAUUAAAGUUGAUAAUGACAUUAUUUAAAGAAGAAGUCCCGGCUAAUCUCGUGCCAGCAGCCGCGGUAAUACGGGAGGGGCGAGCGUUAUUCGGAAUUAUUGGGCGUAAAGAGUUCGUAGACGGUAUUAUAAGUUAUUUGUUAAAUUUUAAAGUUAAUUUUAAACGAGCAUUUAAUACUAUUUUACUUGAGUUUGAAUUAGAAGAAUAGAAUUCCAUGUGGAGAAGUAAUAUUUGUAGAUAUAUGGAGGAAUACCAGAAGUGAAGACGAUUCUUUAUUAAAAACUGACGUUGAGGAACGAAAGUGUAGGUAGCAAACAGGAUUAGAGACCCUGGUAGUCUACACUGUAAACGAUGAGUGCUAAAAUUUAAUUUUUUUAGAUUUUAAGCUAACGCGUUAAGCACUCCGCCUGAGGAGUAUAAUCGCAAGGUUGGAACUCAAAGGAAUUGACGGGGGCUUACUAUAAGUGGUGGAGCAUGUGGUUUAAUGCGAUACUCCGCGCAAAACCUUACCAGUUCUUGACAUUUUAAAUAAAAUACAAUACUAAUAAUGUAUUUAUUAUCUUUUAUAUACAGGUGUUGCACGACUGUCGUCAGCUCGUGUCGUGAGAUUUUUGGUUCAUUCCUUUAACGAGCGCAACUCUUAUCUUUUAUUUUUUAUUCUUAAAUAAUUUUGAAUUUAAUUAAAAAAAAUAAAGAGACGGUCAACGAUAAGUUGAUGGAAGGUAAGAAUUAAGUCAAGUCACUGUGGCCUUUAUGAACUGGGCUACACACGUGCUACAAUGGAAAAUACAAAAUCAUAUUCUAAUUUUAACGUUAGGAUUUAUUUAAAAUUUUUCUUAGUUCGGAUUGUAAACUGAAACUCGUUUACAUGAAGUUGGAAUCACUAGUAAUCACAAAUCAGAAUGUUGUGGUGAAUAUAUGUCUUAGCCUUGUACACACCGCCCGUCACAUGCAGGAAGUUAAUUUUAUUUUAAGAUUUAACAAAAAAAUUUUUUAUUAUAAUAGAUUAUUUAUAUGUUAUUUCCAUUACAAAAUUAAUAACUUGGAUGAAGUCGUAACAAGGUAGCUGUACGGGAACGUGUAGCUGGAAAUAUUAGUGA